This 740-nucleotide long non-coding RNA is filed under the name Rattus norvegicus (Norway rat). Its description in RNAcentral is "long non-coding RNA NONRATT024798". Lineage: Eukaryota; Metazoa; Chordata; Mammalia; Rodentia; Muridae. The record is from RNAcentral.
CAGCGAGCGGGCCGGCCCGGUCCGUUGGUGGCGGCGCGCGGGGGAGCUAAGGGAAGACUCCGCGCGGGACUCAGGAGUGUGGCGGCGCGGGGGUGCGGGGGCGACUGUCGCAGGCCGAGUCUGUGCUCCUCGGAUCUGCACCGGGAGAGCCGGGUCUGAACCCGGAGAGUGGCGAGCCGCCCUUCUCUCUAGCACCCUGCGGUCAACACUGUCAUUUAUUGCUGGGGCUGGAGGAAUGGAGGGGGCUGCAAUGUCCAAGAAGACUAAGCGCCUUCCCCCACUCCGCCUGGACUGUGGCGGUCACCAGCCGCCCGCGGAGAGCUGGCCUGUUUGUCACUGCCCUGGGAUUCUCUACCGUGCCGCGAUGGGGGAGGGGACACCCGGACUGCUGAGCCCUUCUGGGUGUGAGUUUUGAAGCCUAAUUUUCCUCUUAUUUUCCCCUUGGGGAGACUCUCCCCUCUGGGGAUUUGUUCCGGAUCUGCUCGGGUUGCGAGAACUUGUUGACCAGUGAAGACUGGUAGAACCCCGGUCCGCCCUGGUUCGAAUGUCUGUUUAUUUCUCAAAGUGACUCCUCCUACGUAUGCGGGACCUCGUGUGUGUCCCUUAAGGGGUCAAGGCUCGGUCCGCGCGCUGACAACGGGCUUUCGGGCUGCGGGAAAGUCGGGUGCGCCCUCCUGGGGGCCAGUGGCUCUAUCUAUGCUAAUUUCCUCGGUAACCUUUAAACUCUCUGGAAGCGGCCG